Molecule: long non-coding RNA, 579 nt
Filed under: Salvia miltiorrhiza (redroot sage)
Lineage: Eukaryota; Viridiplantae; Streptophyta; Magnoliopsida; Lamiales; Lamiaceae
Description: long non-coding RNA (SMIL_LNC009211)
Source: RNAcentral
AUGGACGGAGCAAGUCAAAGAAUGGCAGGCAGAGCUCCACGAACCACAAGAAUUUCAACAAAUCAAAGUCUGUUGAAUGUUGGAACUGUGGUCAGGUCGGGCACUACAGAACGCAGUGUAAAGUACCUUCAAAGGGAAACGAGAAAAAGACCGAAGCCAAUGUUGUGGCUGAAGGAGAAGUACAGAUCAAACUCAAUGAAUCUGUAUGAAGGAGAAGGACGUGAGACAUAUUCCAAAGUUGAGGAAUAACUUGAUCUCCGUCAAGCAAUUGUCGAGAGAAGGAUGUGAUACACACCUCUCAGGUGAUUGUUGGAAAAUCACUAGGGGCGCAAUGAUUCUUGCACGUGGCAAGGAUACUGGCAGCCUAUACACAACGAUGAAUGCGUGUGUGACAAUUGCAGUUGCUGAUAGCAAGAAGAAUGCAAAUUUGUGGCACCAAAGACUUGGGCACAUGAGCCAGAAAGGGCUCAAGUAUAUGCAUUCGAAAGGGAAACUACCAGAAGAGGGUGAGUUUCAACACAAGUGGUAGAACUCUGAAGCAAGUAAAGCUUGAGUUAGUCCACACAGAUGUUUGGGGCC